Molecule: ribosomal RNA, 496 nt
Filed under: uncultured bacterium
Lineage: Bacteria
Description: partial 16S ribosomal RNA
Rfam family: Bacterial small subunit ribosomal RNA
Source: RNAcentral
GAUGAACGCUGGCGGCGUGCCUAAUACAUGCAAGUCGAGCGAACAGACGAGGAGCUUGCUCCUCUGACGUUAGCGGCGGACGGGUGAGUAACACGUGGAUAACCUACCUAUAAGACUGGGAUAACUUCGGGAAACCGGAGCUAAUACCGGAUAAUAUAUUGAACCGCAUGGUUCAAUAGUGAAAGACGGUUUUGCUGUCACUUAUAGAUGGAUCCGCGCCGCAUUAGCUAGUUGGUAAGGUAACGGCUUACCAAGGCAACGAUGCGUAGCCGACCUGAGAGGGUGAUCGGCCACACUGGAACUGAGACACGGUCCAGACUCCUACGGGAGGCAGCAGUAGGGAAUCUUCCGCAAUGGGCGAAAGCCUGACGGAGCAACGCCGCGGGAGUGAUGAAGGUCUUCGGAUCGUAAAACUCUGUUAUUAGGGAAGAACAAAUGUGUAAGUAACUAUGCACGUCUUGACGGUACCUAAUCAGAAAGCCACGGCUAACUACGG